GUUCUGCGCCCAGAAGCACGGGGUUUAGAGGCUGGAAAAAGUGAUUAAGUACGCGGGCCUCUCACCGCUGCGGCCUCUCCCGCUGCGGAGCACAGGCUCCGGACGCGCAGGCUCAGCUGCCAUGGCUCACGGGCCCAGCCGCUCCGCGGCACGUGGGAUCCUCCCAGACCGGGGCACGAACCCGCGUCCCCUGCACCGGCAGGGGGACUCUCAACCACUGCGCCACCAGGGAAGCCCUACUAAAAAGAAGAAAAGUAGAAAAAGGAGAUAAUGAAGAAACAGCCAUUAUUCAGUCAUUCUUCUGCAGCUUUACCUGAAAGGAGAAUUGCUUCUAUGUGAUUCAUUACAAGAUACCAACAGCAUCAGCCAUGCUGACUCCUUGCUCUUCCUGUGGCACACCAGAUUUACUCCCCCUUCAAAACUUUUGCAUCUAAAGGAGUAAACAAAAUGUUUUCUUCACAUCAGGUUCAACAAAACCUUGAACAGGAAAUUUGGACACACUGAGAGAAACCAAGGAUGUGCCAGCACAGAGGGAUGACCAUGUGAUGAUUCAGCAAGAGAGUGGCCGUCUGCAAGGCAAGAAGAGAGGCCUCAGGAGAAACCAAACCUGCCAGCACCUACAUCUUGGACUUCCAGCCUCCAGAACUUUGUGUGCUUAAUAAUGCAAGUGAUGGAGCAUUUUACUGAGUCUGGGCAGAGAUUUCAGCAUUCUCUAAAGAAAACUUACACCUAAAAACACUGCUUUACUGAUACGACACCCAAGAUUCUAAGCUGACAUCAAAGCAAAAAGAAAAAAAAGAUCAUCUGAAAUGACAGCAGCAGCUGCAGCAUCCGCCUCUAAAUUAGGCUGUGUUUCAAAGUCUGGACUCAACUGCUAAGCAGUAUAAAGACCCAGGAGGAAGGCUGCCCAGAAAAGAGUGAGGCUUCCGACCUAACACAUCAAAGUAACACAUGCUAGGAAGAGCAAUAAACGCAUGUGUCCCACAUUCACGUGCUGCCUAAUUGCAUUGGGCUCAUGAAACCAAGACAAACCUUCAGCUGAUUCCUGGUUUAAGAGAGGAUUUGAGAUCUUUUCUAUGCGGAAAGCUGACACAAAUUGGUUGCAGAUUAGAGUCUGACUCCGUAACGAAGCAUCCCAUAAUUUCAAAAGAUGGUCAUUUCAGUGUCAUAUGGCAUCUUCAAAACACUGACUUCUUAAUGAAGUAACAUAUAAACUAACCAUUAGGUAUAAAUAAAAGUUAAAAAAUAAGCUUCAUAAAUGAAGCAAGCCUUAAUUUGUACAUUCAGGGAUAGAUGCUUUGAGGAAAGGCUUUUUCGUUUGUUUUGCAUAUAAACUACCAAUUUUGAGGGCAUUUAUCUUCUAAAGCAUAAGCUAUUUAACGAGAACUUAGAAUACUAAUAUCUCUUAAGAGAGGAGAGAAAUAGUUAGAUGUUUUAGAUGUAAUUUUUAGCAGAAAUGCUUACUGCCAUAAGGUCUGCAUUAAGGGAUCAUUACUAUAUAUAGACGAUGUAAUAUAUUUAGUAGCACAAUUUGCAAUUAGAUAUAUAGCAACACACAUAAGCUUAAUACAUUAGAGCUCUGAAUUCUUUUAUUCUGUGUUCAUACCCUUUAUGCUCUUUAUUUUGCAGCACAAUGCCCUAUUAUUCUGCAAAAUACUCUUCUGUAUGUGUGAAUUGCUAAAGUUAACUUACACAAUUACCUGAGGAGACUUUAAUUAUAAUUAGUGGAAGGCUGAUAAUUAAUCCUAUUAUGUGAAAUAUUCAUGAGUUAUCACUGAACAUAUGCACUAAAAAGAAAACCUCAGAAAUAUGCAGGGUGAUUAUAAACAGAUGAAAAUGGGGAAAAAAAUGUAGUAUGAAAAUUGUAAAAUUUUUGGCUAUAAGUUUUGACUAAAUAAAUAUGAUUGCAAGGCUUUGAGAGUCAGAAAACCUUAGGAUUAAUCUCUUUAGUGCUCAAAUGAUAAAAAUCAUAAAAGAAAUUCUGCAAGAAUGUAUUGUAUCAUAUAUUAAGAGCCUAUCUCCAGAAUUAUGAUGAAGGCCCAAUUCCAUUGAUGUUAAUCAACUUUGAAUUUAUGUCUAGGAUAUAUAAAUAGAUUGAGUCACAUUAUCUCACUUCAUGGCAAAUAGAAGCAUUAAGUACUUUUCAGAAGGGUGAAUCAUGUAAUGGAUCAUUUUUCAUUAUGAUGGAAUAA
Long non-coding RNA from Globicephala melas (long-finned pilot whale), 2192 nucleotides. RefSeq lists it as uncharacterized. The record is from RefSeq and is a predicted model, not a curated record. NCBI's taxonomy places the organism in Eukaryota, Metazoa, Chordata, Mammalia, Artiodactyla, Delphinidae.